This is a non-coding RNA of Phalacrocorax carbo (great cormorant), 1738 nucleotides long. Lineage: Eukaryota; Metazoa; Chordata; Aves; Suliformes; Phalacrocoracidae. The record is from RefSeq and is a predicted model, not a curated record.
GUUUCUUUGGUUGCAGACUAGAGAACUUGCUGCUGUUCCCUCGUUUUCAGAGUUGCUGGGGCAGAGGCGCGGGACUUGGCCCUCAGCACAGGUAGCAGCUGUCCAGACACGUGUGCUAUCCCGAAAGACUGCAGUUUGUUUUGAAGGGCUUGUGGUUUCUUCUGGAAGUGCACUGAUGAGGAAUUGUUUGGAGAACAGUGAAACUGAACGAAAGUGCAAUCUCAGCUUCUUUCUCAAAGGACACGCUAGAGAUGCAGUGGACUUGCGUGCCUGUCAUUCUGUUGAAUUACCCUGUUUAUGAAGAAGCUGAUGAUGUCCUCAAGUGGCUUCAAGAGUCUACCUCUCCUCACUCUCCCUGGGAAACAAUUUGGGGUUAUUCUGCUAUGGAAGAGAGCGGAAACAGCUAGAGCUUGGAACAGCUCUGAAGUGUUGGGGUUUAGUGGCAUAACCCUAUAAACCUUCUGUUUUACUGAAUCUGCAAAACUGGAUGUGGAGACAGCAGCUUAAGUACAUCUUGACUUCAGGAUUUUGUUUAUGUUUGAAGCAAAUAUAAAAAAAUAAUACAAAGAAGAUUGUGAUGUGAGUGAAUGAAGUUGAUGAGAAAAUUCAGGAUUUCUUCUGAACUCCUUAAUUCUCUUUUGAGAUUGAGCUCCUGAAUUCUUUUAAAAGGGCUUUACUUAGUCUAAUUACUUCAUUUUAGAUUAUUUAUAGCAGUAUAAUAUAAUAUAGUCUAUAGUAGUAUAGUAUUUUUUUCUGAUCUUAUCUCCAGUUUACCCAACAAAUGAAAGAUUAGGAAAAAGAUAAAUGAAGAUAAUGAACUUUCACCAGAGCUUUAAUGCAUAGCAAGUUAAGGCUAGCAGGCGUCUUGCAGAAAUGGGAGUUGAAAAUCAAAGCUUCCAUUUUUUACUCUGCCAUAAAUCAAACUCACUUCACUGCUUCAUAUAUGGCCUUGGUCAUAUCACUUAGCCUUCUACUUCCUCUUUUUUCCCAUUAUCUCACUGCUUAAGGCUCUAAAUUUUCAUACGUUAGUGCAGACAAUCAUUGACAGUCAUAACUUCUGAGGCUACCUAUUACUACACAAGCAUGUGAGAAAUUGCAUAUUUACAGUUUGUGUAUAUUGACACAGAGUUCAACAGAAAAUUGAAAGCUGACUGGUCAGCACAGAUGUAACAUAUUUAUGAAAAUAUAGCUUUAUGAAUGUGAUAUUCUUAAUUGCCAAAGCAUGCUGAGAAGCCCAACUAGGACAUACACUGCCUCAGAAUCUAGAUGCAGGAGAGGUUUAUAAAGAAACUGAUAUGGUUCCAUAUCUUGGAGGAGGAGAUUUUAGAGAGAUAACAGGUUUUAAGCCAUGAAUUUCAAGCAAGAGUACAGUACUCUUGAUAACUACAUCACCAGAAGAUUUUGAUUUUUGGUCUCCAUGAGCAUUUGGAAAAGAUAAUCGGCAGUAAAAAGUCCCUUCUAUCUGAGAUAUAUAAAAUACACAACAUAGAUGCCAUGGAUCUUUUGUUGAACUAGUGAGAACCCUCUAGUUAUGAGCUAUCAUCUUCAACCCCUUUGUGUUUACUAAAUCAUAUAGUGAAAUAAAAAACAGAUUGCUAUAUUUCCUAAUUCUUACCUUCCAUUGAAAAAAUGCGUGUAUUCAAUAAAUGUCCAAUGUUCAUAAUUGUCACGUAUGGAACGUGACAAUAAAAUGCUGAGAAUUCUGUUUCUGGUUACAUUACAGUUCUUUUUAAUAAUU